This 271-nucleotide ribosomal RNA is filed under the name uncultured bacterium. RNAcentral describes it as "partial 16S ribosomal RNA". It matches the Rfam family "Bacterial small subunit ribosomal RNA", at positions 524 to 794 of the family's 1533-position model. The record is from RNAcentral.
GACGAACCGUGCGAACGUUGUUCGGAUUCACUGGGCUUAAGGGGCGCGUAGGCUGUUCGUUAAGUCGUGGGUGAAAUCUUUCGGCUCAACCGGAAAAUUGCCCUCGAUACUGGCGAGCUAGAGGGAGAUAGGGGCAGCGGGAACUACCAGUGGAGCGGUGAAAUGCGUUGAUAUUGGUAGGAACGCCGGUGGCGAAAGCGCGCUGCUGGACCUCUCCUGACGCUGAGGCGCGAAAGCUAGGGGAGCAAACGGGAUUAGAUACCCCUGUAGU